Molecule: ribosomal RNA, 831 nt
Filed under: Biatora globulosa
Lineage: Eukaryota; Fungi; Ascomycota; Lecanoromycetes; Lecanorales; Ramalinaceae
Description: SSU rRNA
Rfam family: Bacterial small subunit ribosomal RNA
Source: RNAcentral
GGAAUGAAUAGCAGUAGCUAAUUGCACAUAAAUAUGAUGCAAUAUCGACUCAGUCGAAUAAAAUUCUGGGUAGAAUUAUGAUAAUGACAUUUUCUGCUCAUGUGUCUUGGCUAAAUUACGUGCCAGCAGCCGCGGUAAUACGUAGAAGACUAGUGUUAUUCAUCUUUAAUAGGUUUAAAGGGUACCUAGACGGUAAAUCGAGCCCUAUACGGGACUAAUUUGCUAGAGUUACUUACGCGGGGGUUAUAACGUACUAAUGGUGUAGAGAUAAAAUUUUGUAAUACCACUUUCGAGAGGAAGAUAUGGCACUGGUAAAGGCGAAAGCAUCCCCUUAUGUGAUAACUGACGUUGAAGGACGAAGGCUUUGGAUCGCGAAUAGGAUUAGAUACCCUAGUAGUCAAAGGAGAGAAUUAUGAGUGUCAUAGAUUAGAAAUAUAUUUUUAUUCUAUAAAUGAAAGUGUAAGCACUCCACCUCAAGAGUAAUUUGGCAACAUUGGAACUGAAAUCAUUAGACCGUUUCUGAAACCAGUAGUGAAGUAUGUUGUUUAAUUUGAUAAUCCGCAAAAAACCUUACCAUCAGUAUGAAUGUCCACACGUCCCCGUGUGGAUACAAGCGUUGCACGGCUGUCUUCAGUUAAUGUCGUGAGACUUUGGUUAGAUCCAUUAAAUUAACGCAAGCCCUUACUUUAUUUUAAUAUAAAGUCGUUCUCCACUAUAUUGGAUAUGAUAACAGGGACUAAGACAAGUCAUCAUGGCCUGUAUGCUGUGGGCUAUAGACGUGCCACAUAGACCUUUACAAAAGGAUGUGAAAUUGUGAAAUUGAACUAUCCC